Molecule: long non-coding RNA, 2316 nt
Organism: Panonychus citri (citrus red mite)
Lineage: Eukaryota; Metazoa; Arthropoda; Arachnida; Trombidiformes; Tetranychidae
Exons: 5
Source: RefSeq, a predicted model, not a curated record
CAGGCCACCGCAAGUCUUUGGCUUCACAAACGGUUAUGGUUAAUCUUUCAAUCAUCGGAUUGUAACAAAGGCUCACAUUUAUUUCACCAGAUUCAGAUGGAGGCUUAUUAAAGCAAUUGAGUUAACAGAAACAGAAAUACAGUCUCGCCAAAGAAGUGGAGGAUUAGACGAAAUGAAGUCAAGAUCUUUCAGCUUAACGAUAACGUGGCCAAUUACAUUGUGUCUUUUUCCUCUAUCGUUGUCCAAUACUGUUAAUCGAAGUGAAUUAUCUUGAACUGAUUUAUUUGGAACCUAAAUUGUUACAGAAAAAAAACAAUACACCGAGGGAACAAUUUAAUCAGAAAUAUCAAUCGUCAAAUAUCAAUUGUCCAAAUCACCAUAAUCAAAGAUUAUUUUCACCGAGAUAAAUUGAACUAUCACACUUUUCCAUGGACAGAUUAACUUUCAAAUGACAACGGAAAACAUUCAAUUUGUUGGCAUUUAUAUUAAGAUGAAUAAGUGUUUGGUUCCAUUGAUGUAAACGUGAUUGGGAAAAAUUGGAUCAACAACAAUCAUUAGAUAAUUAUGAUGAAUUUACUGGAGGUGAAAUUAAAUUUGUUGAAACUAAAUUGAAUAACUUUCAGUGUUCAACAAAAACUCAACUCUUUCCAUGUUUAGAUAGACACUCAACAAUAUUCAGUUACAAUAUCGUUAACAUGAUUAUGUUAUUUUCCUUUCAGACUCUAUUCAGUUCAUUCAUCGAUUCAACAAAGACCAGAGUUAACAAUUAAAACCACUGAAGUGAAAUCACUGGUAAACGUAAACUGUAAUUCACCUCAACAAUUAUGUAAAUAUUAACUUUUACCUGAAUCAGAAUUUCCCUACAUGGAGAUUAUUGGAAUUAGUAAUUUUCUGAUCGAAAAAUUGGAAAAAUUGUUCUUUUUUCUCUUUUUUAUUCCAGUCUUCAUGUAGAGAUAAACUGUAGAUAGAUUCACUAAUCUAAUAGAAUCUAAAGAUUUCGUUUCGAUGGAUAAGCCAACAAUUAAUUUCUAUUCCAAAUGUUUGACAUUUCUAAGAACUUUUUAAUCUGAUUGUUUGGCCGAUUCUUAUUCCAUUUUAUUUUUUCAUCUCUUUUCUACAAUUAUCUACAUUUACUAUUAUCAUGAAACAUCGUCUAUGGACUUUGGUCCAUUUAAAGGUCUUCUUUUUAACUUUAGAUUGAACAUAUCGCCUUCCAUCGGGCAAAAGGUAAAUUCUGGCAACCAUGAAAUGAGAAAUAUGUCCAAUCAUGAGUGUUAAUCAUCAUCAUUAUCAAUGGGUAAAUGAUUAUCGUUUAUAAGGAGAAACAAAAAAUAACAGAAUCCAAAUGAAGAUACAAAAUAAAUUUCAAAGAAUUUGGAUUCUUGCUGAGGAAUAAAGUGAUUAGCUGGGAGUAAAGAAAUGGUAACAAAUCUCAAGUCAACGUGAUCGAAUUGAUAUAAUGAUAAGAAUAGAAAAAGUUCUAAUGUUUUUUUCGAUUUCAUGUUAGAUCAAGAAGAAGAGAAAAAAAACAAGAAUCGAAGAAGUUGUUCUAAGGUUCGUUUUAAUCUGUCAUCUAAAAUGUUCCAUGGGAAGAGUUGUCAUCAUCUCUGUCGAAAAUGUUAUCAAGAACUAACUUAUUGUUCUUCUCUCCAAAGACUAAUUCUUUUUUUAUUUUCUCUUUUUCUCUAUUUUUCUAUUCUUAGGAUCUUACAAUUGGUUAGUAAUUGGAUGUUCGACAUGUUACUCUCUCAUACUUGCGUAUUUAUGUGUACCUAUUUCAAUUAUUUCGUCAACAUGAUUAACUCCCUGAGAAUCAGCAAUAUCUUUACAUUGAAAAGGCAGGAAGAAGAUCUCAAACUAUUAUUAUGAUGACGAGGAAAAUGUUGCAGAGAUUAUCAUGAUUAUGUGCUCAUUGGCUUUUUGAUAUUUGAUAAAAUGAAUACCCAUGAAUCCAGACUGAUUUGGGUGUAAAUGGAAUGCUGAUUAAAUCAGUAUUAUAUUCUGGUUCAAUAAUAUUUGAUUAUCGUAGAUUUAUUUACUCUACCAUGGUUAAUAUUGUAUUAAUAUAUUUAAAUCAAUCAACUUUAUUUGAGUUAUACUAACCUGACAAAUGGGUCGGAACAAUUUACUGAUCCUUUUACCCUUGAGGGUAAAUUUUUGAUCUUCAGUAAACUGAUGAUCAACUCCACCGAUACGAUAAAGUUCAGGAUUUAAUCCACCCAACAAAGAGGAUCUUGGUCUUUCCAGUUGAUUGUCACCACCAAGUUUACUCGAUCCACUUUCAACAACUUCCGAACCACCAGAUUUUGUGAUGAU